RNAcentral lists this ribosomal RNA (253 nucleotides) under uncultured bacterium. Its description in RNAcentral is "partial 16S ribosomal RNA". It matches the Rfam family "Bacterial small subunit ribosomal RNA", at positions 524 to 776 of the family's 1533-position model. The record is from RNAcentral.
CACGUAGGGGGCGAGCGUUGUUCGGAAUUAUUGGGCGUAAAGGGCAUGUAGGCGGUUUUGUAAGCCUGGUGUGAAAUCCUGCAGCUUAACUGUAGAAUUGCAUUGGGUACUGCGAGACUUGAAUCACAGAGGGGAAACUAGAAUUCCAGGUGUAGGGGUGGAAUCUGUAGAUAUCUGGAAGAAUACCGGUGGCGAAGGCGGGUUUCUAGCUGAUGAUUGACGCUGAGGUGCGAAAGUGCGGGGAGCAAACAGG